GCAACACAUGACGUCACCAAAAUGGAGACGCUUGAUUGGAUAACCGUGCAGUUAAAUCCAGCCAGCUAACUCGUCUUAAUCCAAUCAUAACGAGAGGCUUUGCUCCAUGUGGAAACCAUGGCACAAAGGAGGAAAGUCUGCAUGGAAAUCUUGUAAGCGCUAACCUUAUCCCAGAUCCUCACCAAUGGCAUUAUUUCCAUUAUUUGCAAGGCUUCAACCAUGGAAAUCCCAUUAUGCUGAGACAGUCUGCAGGAGGUGGGGGAUGGCAAGAUGAGAGCUGAAAUCUAACUGUUAGCACUUUUGGCGGAAUGGGUUUUCCGCAAGAACCAGGAUGGCCCUUCAAACAACAAUGGGCGCACAGAGAGAGGGAGAAAGAGUGUGCACAGAGGAUGAUUCUGCCUGACAAUGAGCCUUCCGUUCAGCGAACUUGGGACGCCUGUUACACCAGACAAUGGGAGGGGGCCGGUCAGCUUUAGCACCGGCUCAGUCAAGAGCGAGCAGACCGGUCCGCCUGCAGCUGUGUCACAGGGUCUACCCCCUUUAACAUCUGCGCCAUUCACUCGCCUGUCAUCCCAGAGUGGUGGCUUAAUGCGCCCUGCAAAGGUCCCUGUGCAACGCAACCAUAAGCUGUGUUAUGUGGUUGCGGCAAUGUCUGUCCAUCAUCUGUAUCUGGAGAAUAUUACGUGCAUAUGCGUAUUUAGGAGACUAUUAGGUAAUGCCUGUGCAAUUUUUAAAAUAACUGCCGCCAGUUUAAUUUGUGUGCAUUGUAUCAAAACAAUUUAUAAAGGAGGCAAUAGUAACCAUUUUCAAGAUAAUGGUAACAUUAUCUUUCAGAAGACAUACAGUCAUUUCCAAAGCGGUCUCCCCAAUCGAAAAAAGUGAAUAAUUUGUGUGACCAAUUUCCAAGAAUCUGUCUCUCCGUGCAGCAGACACUGACUUCCAUUGUUCUACAGAGAGGGGGAGAAAAAAAGUCUUUCAAUAAAAAAGUUUGU
Molecule: long non-coding RNA, 992 nt
Organism: Conger conger (European conger)
Lineage: Eukaryota; Metazoa; Chordata; Actinopteri; Anguilliformes; Congridae
Exons: 3
Source: RefSeq, a predicted model, not a curated record